This is a non-coding RNA of Misgurnus anguillicaudatus (oriental weatherfish), 140 nucleotides long. NCBI's taxonomy places the organism in Eukaryota, Metazoa, Chordata, Actinopteri, Cypriniformes, Cobitidae. The record is from RefSeq and is a predicted model, not a curated record.
AAUAAAGACGCGUCACCAGAGAUGCAUUGAGCAGUGGAGCUGCUGCUCAGAUACAGGCUUCAGCUGACACAGAUGAGGACUGCAAUCUGGAGUCCAUUCCUGAGCGACCACAUUCAAAAUAAACAAGUAUUUUGUUAUAA